This is an unclassified non-coding RNA of Papio anubis (olive baboon), 148 nucleotides long. It matches the Rfam family "Metazoan signal recognition particle RNA". From Rfam's summary of the family: The signal recognition particle (SRP) is a universally conserved ribonucleoprotein. It is involved in the co-translational targeting of proteins to membranes. The eukaryotic SRP consists of a 300-nucleotide 7S RNA and six proteins: SRPs 72, 68, 54, 19, 14, and 9. The record is from Ensembl. Lineage: Eukaryota; Metazoa; Chordata; Mammalia; Primates; Cercopithecidae.
GCUGGGCAUGGUGGUGUGUGCCUGUAGUCCCAGCUACUCGGGAGGCUGAGGCACAGGAAUUGCUUGAACCUGGGAGGCAGAGGUUGCAGUGCGCCGAGAUUGCAUCACUGCACUCUGGCCUGGGUGACAGAGCGAGACUCUGCCUCAA